GGAAGAGGGGCAGCCAAGAGAGGCUGGCUGCCAGGCAGACACCUCUGUGCUUGCUGCCUGCUGGGCAGAAGGAAAGCCUGCCUCUGGAAAGGCGAGAGCACCAGCACACAAACCCUCCUGCUCCCUGCACAACAACAGCGACAGCAGCCAGGGCCUGGGCACAGGCAUGAAAGCACCUUUGUGAGGAAGUUGUAUCUGGCAGGGAGGACACAAGGAGCAGCUCUGCUCCUGGGGAACAUCGACUGCCCCACUGUCUGCGAUGUGCAAGUCAUGAAGAGUGCUCCUCAUUCGUUUUGCAUCCCUUCAUUGCCAAUAAAAUAGACCUUGCUUCCAACAUUUGACUAUUACCAUGAAGUCCACAGUGCUCAAGCCCAUCAAAAAGUGAAGAAAUGCGCAGAGUGACUCCUAUGAGAUCAUUUACUCCCAGUGAAGAGCAAUUAAUGGAUUGCAAGUCAUGGUUGGCAGUCCUGGGAACCACAAAACCAGAUGGGUGGGAUCGAAGCGGUAAGAGAUCUCUUCUGCUCCAGAGCAAUGAAAGACUGGAUUUCACCACUGCUGCCCUCCCUACUUUACACUGACAGUCCCAUAUCCCCCCUCUAUCACCAGUGUAUAAUACUGUCAUAGGGUGCUCUGAUUUUCUAAGUGUACUUUGAAACACUGAAAAUAUUGACUGGGAGAAUGUUUUUUAGGUAAUCAGUCAUUUUUACUAUGCAUCCUUCAGUGUUCAUGGACCUUUCCAGGCUAUUACACACUUCAAAGAAGCUUACGAUUACCUCCUCAGGAGCUGGAGAAAAAGCAUGAGAUUAUUCUCUACUACCUAAUUCAUUCAAAUGGAGUUAACUAAUUUUUAUAACAUUUUCUAAAUUGUUUGUCCCAAAAGCAAGAACACACUUUUACUUUUGUAAUGCAUGCCUGCAAAUGAAAAUUACUUCUGCUGUGGAAUUUUCUACAGGCCUUGCUAGAUGACAGUCCAGACUCAACUGCACCGUUGCAAAGUGCACUGUGUCCACAGAAUUUAACUCCUGGUGUUUAAAAAUUCUGAGAGUUGAAUUGGGCAUAAUUAAUCUGGAGGUCAAAUUACAUCAUUAUUGUAUUUUCUUGCACAUUUGUCUCUGCUUUUCUGAGUCUGCAAAACAGCUUCUGCAGCCUCUGACCUUAACCAGGCAGCCAGCCAACCUGCCCAGUGUGUGCCACUGAGAGCCAGAGACGAGUCUUGGCGAGGUCACACAAGAGCAUCUUGCUAACACCCCUCCUGCACUUGAGACCUUUGGGCCAUUCUUGCCCUGCACCCUUCCCAGCCUUUGAUCCUCUCCCUCUCUCAGAGGCUGUGGAAGUGCAGGAUAUUCUCGUACUCAUUUCUGGUACAUCUUUCUGAAAAUCCUGCUAUGAUGACAGUCACAAGUGGUGAAAUGCUGAAUAAACAUUCUCUGAGGAAUUCUAAAGAGGUUUAAACUGUAUUAAAAAUGAAAGCAUAUUUUGGCAGUCAAGCUACCUGUCCACAUCAAGAAAGGGGGAGAUCUAAGCAACAAAGCUGUGCUGGAGACAGUUCAAUCCAACUCAGUUAAGCCAGAUACUGAAACUGCAGCCAGUGUUCACUGCUUGUUACAACCUGCUUUCCAGCAAGCCUUGCUGCCUGCUCUCCUGGGAAUUGCCUUUCCCCACCUCGCUUCAGCAAGCCAUCCACCCUUCUCCUCUCUGCAGGGAGCUAGAAUUCCCUGCCUACAUUCCCAUGUAAGGAGGAGGGACAAUUUCUGAUGGCGUCUUACUAUUCAUCCAUUUCCCCCCUAAAUGUCACUUGGCUGGUGUGCCACGCUUGGCAUGAGAUGCCAGCACAGGCCCACACCUUAUCCCACACAGAGUCUGUGGAUUUGAAAUCACAGACUGAUGAUACCCAAAAAUUUUGCAUGUGUUCUCCAAAGAUCCAAGAGUAUUUCCCUGCACAGGAGCCUGCAAAGAACCCACCCUGGCACCCACCAGCAGCCAGCCCUCUAUGCAUGAGAGCAGCAAGGCAGCACUGCAAAGAAGAAUGCCAGGCACUGCUGUAUUUAUGUGUUUUUCAGGAGCCAUGCUUAGAGGAACACUUGGCAUUUAUCUUUCAGGCAGUGUGAGUCCAGCCCACACAAACCCUGUGCCAACUGAAGGCAUUGCAGUCUCCCCCCUCCUCCUCUCUCCCUGGUGUUCCCAGCGUGCAGACACCUGGAACCCCACCACAGCCCCUUGGCUCCCCUCCAAGCACCAAGUCCUGGCCCUUCCUGCCAGCUCUCAAUGUCAAAUGCAAAAAACAAACCUUAAUAGUCUCUAUUGAACACCAGCUCCUAGGAAUCAAUAAAAAUUUAUGUGAUAUAUAUCUAUCUAAUCUGUCUUUCUCUACCUGUGAAGGCAGAGGGAAUUAAUACAGAAAAUCAGAUAAGACUGUUAAUUUCAACGUUGAAAUUGUAUAACAGCAUUGUACUACAAUCUUUCUGUGAGUUUUUAAAUAUCAUUGAUCCUUUCCCUAUCAAAUUCCUCUUUAAAAGCCUUUAUUCUAUCAACUUUUAAUGGCUUUUUUUGAUAGUAUCGUCUAUCUAGGCUUUUAAAAAUACCAUAUGUCACAGGAUUGUAAUAUAAAGCACAUAUAAACAGCACAUAAAAAGCAGAAAUUACAAGACAAUCACACCCUAAAAGCCAUAAAUUCAGUGCAAAACCUCAUUAAUUGUGCAGCCAACUUUAAGCAUAUCUUCUGGGUAUAUAAAUUAACUUUUAGUGUAAGAAAAUGGUCUGAUAACACUUGCGAGAUUGGGAAGUUUCAUCCAUGAACAUAUAAGGACUUGAAAUGAAAGCUGAAAAAAGACUUAGUGUCUCCAUGGUACUCAGAACUGGGUCUGGAUAUAACUUCCCAAACUGUAGGAGGAAAAAGAACUAACUUUGCUACCAUGGAAACAGAACAGUGCAGUAUAACUGAUUGUUACUUGUCUGCCUUUACAAGACAAAUUGCUAAAAUGUUAAGGCCUUCAAUAACACGGGCAGUUUUGUUUCCACCUGAGAAGUUAACCUUCAGGAAAGGACCAAGAACAAACUCACCAAACAAGAGGGAGCAGCCCAGGAAUGACAGGCAUUCCUAGGAAAAGCAGGGGAUUAGACAGAGAGGAAGAUGGAGAAGGAAGAUAUCCUGGUGCAUGAAGGAAGAGGGGAAGAAGGGUUUGGUUUGAUUAGCAAGACGGGAAGAAAAGGCCCUUAAAAUGAAGGACUGGAUCCUGGCCGUGCUAAAAUAAACUUUGUGUAUAAAUUGGGCAGCAAA
Molecule: long non-coding RNA, 3277 nt
Filed under: Taeniopygia guttata (zebra finch)
Lineage: Eukaryota; Metazoa; Chordata; Aves; Passeriformes; Estrildidae
Description: lncRNA (ENSTGUG00000020877.1)
Source: RNAcentral